This 861-nucleotide ribosomal RNA is filed under the name Triticum aestivum (bread wheat). RNAcentral describes it as "partial small subunit ribosomal RNA". Lineage: Eukaryota; Viridiplantae; Streptophyta; Magnoliopsida; Poales; Poaceae. The record is from RNAcentral.
AUGGACCGUGGCGAUGAGUUCACAUCGGCCACGUUCUACAAGCACUGUGACGAGAAAGGGGUACAAUGUCACCUCACAGCCCCUUACUCGCCACAGCAGAACAGCGUCGUCGAGCGGAGGAACCAGACGAUGCUCGGGAUGGCACGAUGCAUGCUCAAGUCAAAGCAGGUGCUGAUCAUGUAUUGGGGGGAGGCCGUGCUCACGGCCGUCUUCGUCCUCAACCGCUCCUUCACAAGGAGCGUCGACGGCAAGACACCAUACGAGGCGUGGUAUGGGAGGAAGCCCGAUGUACGCUUCCUUCGUACCUUUGGCUGCGUCGGGCACGUCAAGACGAUGCGCCCACAGCUGAAGAAGCUCGAUGACAGGAGCACCCCAAUGGUGUGCAUGGGCUACGAGACGGGCUCUAAGGCGUACAGGAUGUACGACCCCGUCUCAAAGCGCGUACACAUCUCUCGCGAUGUCAUCUUCGAUGAAGACGCGCGAUGGACUUGGGAGGCGUCAGGGGAGGCCCCGGAAAGCAGCUCCUUCACUGUGGAGUACCCGAUGUACUCUACAACCCCGGGAAGCAAGACCUCGGGAAGUGGCACCUCGGGAAGCUCGGGAGGUGUGGAUCCGGGAACAGCAACCCCGAGAACACCAUCCCCGAGUACGGUGUCGCCGGACACAAUGACGUCAAGCAAAGUGGGUCCCUGGAGGCAGUUCGCAACCCCGCCAACGGCGAGGUCGGAGCUGUUCGAUGCCGACGACAAUGUUGGUGCCCCCACAGGUUUCCGCGCAUGGGGGAUCUCCUCGGCGAGGCUGCGGCAACACCGCAAUAGCCCGAGGAUGGGGACGCUGAUGACGACGAGGUCCUGCAUCUGA